RNAcentral lists this ribosomal RNA (1540 nucleotides) under Staphylococcus aureus M0642. RNAcentral describes it as "16S ribosomal RNA". It matches the Rfam family "Bacterial small subunit ribosomal RNA". The record is from RNAcentral. Lineage: Bacteria; Bacillati; Bacillota; Bacilli; Caryophanales; Staphylococcaceae.
AGAGUUUGAUCCUGGCUCAGGAUGAACGCUGGCGGCGUGCCUAAUACAUGCAAGUCGAGCGAACGGACGAGAAGCUUGCUUCUCUGAUGUUAGCGGCGGACGGGUGAGUAACACGUGGAUAACCUACCUAUAAGACUGGGAUAACUUCGGGAAACCGGAGCUAAUACCGGAUAAUAUUUUGAACCGCAUGGUUCAAAAGUGAAAGACGGUCUUGCUGUCACUUAUAGAUGGAUCCGCGCUGCAUUAGCUAGUUGGUAAGGUAACGGCUUACCAAGGCAACGAUGCAUAGCCGACCUGAGAGGGUGAUCGGCCACACUGGAACUGAGACACGGUCCAGACUCCUACGGGAGGCAGCAGUAGGGAAUCUUCCGCAAUGGGCGAAAGCCUGACGGAGCAACGCCGCGUGAGUGAUGAAGGUCUUCGGAUCGUAAAACUCUGUUAUUAGGGAAGAACAUAUGUGUAAGUAACUGUGCACAUCUUGACGGUACCUAAUCAGAAAGCCACGGCUAACUACGUGCCUGCAGCCGCGGUAAUACGUAGGUGGCAAGCGUUAUCCGGAAUUAUUGGGCGUAAAGCGCGCGUAGGCGGUUUUUUAAGUCUGAUGUGAAAGCCCACGGCUCAACCGUGGAGGGUCAUUGGAAACUGGAAAACUUGAGUGCAGAAGAGGAAAGUGGAAUUCCAUGUGUAGCGGUGAAAUGCGCAGAGAUAUGGAGGAACACCAGUGGCGAAGGCGACUUUCUGGUCUGUAACUGACGCUGAUGUGCGAAAGCGUGGGGAUCAAACAGGAUUAGAUACCCUGGUAGUCCACGCCGUAAACGAUGAGUGCUAAGUGUUAGGGGGUUUCCGCCCCUUAGUGCUGCAGCUAACGCAUUAAGCACUCCGCCUGGGGAGUACGACCGCAAGGUUGAAACUCAAAGGAAUUGACGGGGACCCGCACAAGCGGUGGAGCAUGUGGUUUAAUUCGAAGCAACGCGAAGAACCUUACCAAAUCUUGACAUCCUUUGACAACUCUAGAGAUAGAGCCUUCCUCUUCGGGGGACAAAGUGACAGGUGGUGCAUGGUUGUCGUCAGCUCGUGUCGUGAGAUGUUGGGUUAAGUCCCGCAACGAGCGCAACCCUUAAGCUUAGUUGCCAUCAUUAAGUUGGGCACUCUAAGUUGACUGCCGGUGACAAACCGGAGGAAGGUGGGGAUGACGUCAAAUCAUCAUGCCCCUUAUGAUUUGGGCUACACACGUGCUACAAUGGACAAUACAAAGGGCAGCGAAACCGCGAGGUCAAGCAAAUCCCAUAAAGUUGUUCUCAGUUCGGAUUGUAGUCUGCAACUCGACUACAUGAAGCUGGAAUCGCUAGUAAUCGUAGAUCAGCAUGCUACGGUGAAUACGUUCCCGGGUCUUGUACACACCGCCCGUCACACCACGAGAGUUUGUAACACCCGAAGCCGGUGGAGUAACCUUUUAGGAGCUAGCCGUCGAAGGUGGGACAAAUGAUUGGGGUGAAGUCGUAACAAGGUAGCCGUAUCGGAAGGUGCGGCUGGAUCACCU